CCCGCCCGGCCUCCAUCUGGGCCACUGCCCACCGCACGCUGUGAGGAUGCGGAGCGACAGGGACGCG
RNAcentral lists this microRNA precursor (67 nucleotides) under Myotis lucifugus (little brown bat). Its description in RNAcentral is "miRNA (ENSMLUG00000028455.1)". Lineage: Eukaryota; Metazoa; Chordata; Mammalia; Chiroptera; Vespertilionidae. The record is from RNAcentral.